This 441-nucleotide ribosomal RNA is filed under the name uncultured bacterium. RNAcentral's name for it is "bacterial SSU rRNA". It matches the Rfam family "Bacterial small subunit ribosomal RNA", at positions 958 to 1398 of the family's 1533-position model. The record is from RNAcentral.
AACGCGAAGAACCUUACCUGGGCUUGAACCGCACAGGACCAGCUUGAGAAAUCAGGCCUUCCCGCAAGGGACCUGUGUAGAGGUGCUGCAUGGCUGUCGUCAGCUCGUGCCGUGAGGUGUUGGGUUAAGUCCCGCAACGAGCGCAACCCUUACUCAUAGUUGCUACCCGCAAGGGAGAACUCUAUGAGGACUGCUCCGGAUAACGGAGAGGAAGGUGGGGAUGAGGUCAAGUCAGCAUGGCCUUUAUGUCCAGGGCUACACACGUGUUACAAUGCGCGCCACAAAGCGUCGCGAACCCGCGAGGGGGAGCUAAUCGCAAAAAAGCGCGCUCAGUUCGGAUUGCAGUCUGCAACUCGACUGCAUGAAGCCGGAAUCGCUAGUAAUGGCGCAUCAGAACGGCGCCGUGAAUACGUUCCCGGGCCUUGUACACACCGAGACGAC